UGGCCUGUAGCUCAACGGUUAGAGUACCACUCUUAUAAGGUGAAGGUUCCGGGUGCUGAUGAAUUGCUUGAUGAAGCAAUUAUCAGCAUGCUGACUGAUCGUCAGGUAUUCAAUUCCCGGCAGGCCAA
RNAcentral lists this transfer RNA (128 nucleotides) under Fulvivirga imtechensis AK7. It matches the Rfam family "tRNA". Rfam says of the family: Transfer RNA (tRNA) molecules are approximately 80 nucleotides in length. Their secondary structure includes four short double-helical elements and three loops (D, anti-codon, and T loops). The record is from Rfam by way of RNAcentral. Lineage: Bacteria; Pseudomonadati; Bacteroidota; Cytophagia; Cytophagales; Fulvivirgaceae.